GGGGGGGGGGGGGGGGGGGGGGGGGGGGGGGGGGGCGGGCGGGGCGGCCGUGCGUGGGGGGGGGGCUCGAGUGGGGAACGGGUGAGUGACACGUGGGUGACCUGCCCGUUACUGCGGGAGAACUUCCGGCAACGGGGGCGAAGACCGGCUCGGAGCGCCUGGUGCAUGGCGUGGGUUGGCACGUGUCGGCGGUUGGGGAUGGACUCGCGGCUUGUCAGCUUGUUGGUGGGGUAGUGGCUUACCAAGGCUUUGACGGGUAGCCGGCCUGAGCGGUUGACCGGCCACAUUGGGACUGAGAUACGGCCCAGACUCCUACGGGAGGCAGCAGUGGGGAAUAUUGCACAAUGGGCGGAAGCCUGAUGCAGCAACGCCGCGUGCGGGAUGACGGCCUUCGGGUUGUAAACCGCUUUCGCCUGUGACGAAGCGUGAGUGACGGUAAUGGGUAAAGAAGCACCGGCUAACUACGUG
This 468-nucleotide ribosomal RNA is filed under the name uncultured bacterium. Its description in RNAcentral is "partial 16S ribosomal RNA". It matches the Rfam family "Bacterial small subunit ribosomal RNA", at positions 39 to 507 of the family's 1533-position model. The record is from RNAcentral.